RNAcentral lists this ribosomal RNA (492 nucleotides) under uncultured bacterium. Its description in RNAcentral is "partial 16S ribosomal RNA". It matches the Rfam family "Bacterial small subunit ribosomal RNA", at positions 29 to 507 of the family's 1533-position model. The record is from RNAcentral.
AGUGAACGCUGGCGGUAGGCCUAACACAUGCCAGUCGAACGGCAGCACAGUAAGAGCUUGCUCUUACGGGUGGCGAGUGGCGGACGGGUGAGGAAUACAUCGGAAUCUACUUUUUCGUGGGGGAUAACGUAGGGAAACUUACGCUAAUACCGCAUACGACCUACGGGUGAAAGCAGGGGAUCUUCGGACCUUGCGCGAUUGAAUGAGCCGAUGUCGGAUUAGCUAGUUGGCGGGGUAAAGGCCCACCAAGGCGACGAUCCGUAGCUGGUCUGAGAGGAUGAUCAGCCACACUGGAACUGAGACACGGUCCAGACUCCGACGGGAGGCAGCAGUGGGGAAUAUUGCACAAUGGGCGCAAGCCUGAUCCAGCCAUACCGCGUGGGUGAAGAAGGCCUUCGGGUUGUAAAGCCCUUUUGUUGGGAAAGAAAAGCAGCAGGUUAAUACCCCGCUGUUCUGACGGUACCCAAAGAAUAAGCACCGGCUAACUUCGUG